UACGUAGGGGGCUAGCGUUGUCCGGAUUUAUUGGGCGUAAAGAGCGUGUAGGCGGCCAGGUAGGUCUGCUGUGAAAACUCGAGGCUCAACCUCGAGACGUCGGCGGAAACCAUCUGGCUAGAGUCCGGAAGAGGAGAGUGGAAUUCCUGGUGUAGCGGUGAGAUGCGCAGAUAUCAGGAAGAACACCCGUGGCGAAGGCGGCUCUCUGGGACGGUACUGACGCUGAGACGCGAAAGCGUGGGGAGCAAACAGG
Molecule: ribosomal RNA, 253 nt
Filed under: uncultured bacterium
Lineage: Bacteria
Description: partial 16S ribosomal RNA
Rfam family: Bacterial small subunit ribosomal RNA
Source: RNAcentral